UAUAAAUGUAAAUUUUUAGAUUAAUUGAUUAAUAGUUAUGAUCUUUAAAAAUAAAUAAUUUGGCGGUAUUUUAGUCUUUUCAGAGGAACCUGUUUUAUAAAUGAUAGUCCACGAUUAAAAAAUCUUAAAUUAGAAAUUUAUAUAUCAUCGUUAUUAAAUAUUUUUUUAGAAUUUAAUAUUUAAAAUAUAUUAUUAUGUAUUAGUUCAGAUCAUGGUAUAGUUAAUAUUUAAGUAAUAAUGGGUUACAAUAUUAAUAAAUUUGAAUUUUAAAUUUAAAAUUUAAAUGAAAUUGGAUUUGAAAGUAAUUAUUUUUUUUUUCAAUAAUGAUUUACCUCUAAAAUAUGC
RNAcentral lists this ribosomal RNA (345 nucleotides) under Scymnus minisculus. RNAcentral's name for it is "partial small subunit ribosomal RNA". Lineage: Eukaryota; Metazoa; Arthropoda; Insecta; Coleoptera; Coccinellidae. The record is from RNAcentral.